Non-coding RNA from Pelobates cultripes (western spadefoot toad), 732 nucleotides. Lineage: Eukaryota; Metazoa; Chordata; Amphibia; Anura; Pelobatidae. The record is from the annotation of a GenBank genome assembly.
UCCUGUUUAUUUUUUGGAGGUCUGUUUCUGGGGGAGGAUAUUUCCUGUUUAUUUUUGAAGGUCUGAGUUCUGUGGGGAAUAUUUCCUGUUUAUUUUUUGAGGUCUGGUUCUGUGGGGAGGGAUAUUUCCUGUUUUAUUUUUUGAAGGGUCUGGUUCUGUGGGGAGGAUAUUUCCUGUUUUAUUUUUUUUGAAGGUCUGGUUCUGUGGGGAUAUUUCCUGUUUAUUUUUUGAAGGUCUGGUUCUGUGGGGGAGGGAUAUUUCCUGUUUAUUUUUUGAAGGUCUGGUUCUGUGGGGGAGGAUAUUUCCUGUUUAUUUUUUGAAGGUCUGGUUCUGUGGGGGAGGAUAUUUCCUGUUUAUUUUUUGAAGGUCUGGUUCUGUGGGGGAGGAUAUUUCCUGUUUAUUCUUUGGAGGUCUGGUUCUGGGGGAGGAUAUUUCCUGUCUAUUCUUUCGAGGUCUGGUUCUGGGGGAGGAUAUUUCCUGUUUAUUCUUUGGAGGUCUGGUUCUGGGGGAGGAUAUUUCCUGUUUAUUCUUUGGAGGUCUGGUUCUGGGGGAGGAUAUUUCCUGUUUAUUUUUUGAAGGUCUGGUUCUGUGGGGGAGGAUAUUUCCUGUUUAUUUUUUGAAGGUCUGGUUCUGUGGGGGAGGAUAUUUCCUGUUUAUUUUUUGAAGGUCUGGUUCUGUGGGGGAGGAUAUUUCCUGUUUGGUUUUUGGAGGUCUGGUUCUGGGGGAGGAUAU